AGCGAACGCUGGCGGCGUACCUAACACAUGCAAGUCGAACGAGGAUCACGGUGUGAGCAAUCAUAUUGUGGUCCUAGUGGCGCACGGGUGAGUAACACGUGGGUAACCUGCCCUCGAGACCGGGAUACCCCCUCGAAGGGGGGACGUAAUACCGGAUACGUUCCCCGGGUCCGACAGAUCUGGGGAGGAAAGGUGGCGCAAGCUGCCGCUCAUGGAGGGGCUCGCGGCCUAUCAGCUAGUGGCGGGGUAACGGCCCACCAAGGCUAUGACGGGUAGCUGGUCUGAGAGGACG
Molecule: ribosomal RNA, 292 nt
Filed under: uncultured bacterium
Lineage: Bacteria
Description: partial 16S ribosomal RNA
Rfam family: Bacterial small subunit ribosomal RNA
Source: RNAcentral